GACGAACGCUGGCGGCGUGCUCAACACAUGCAAGUCGAACGGUAAGGCCCUUCGGGGUACACGAGUGGCGAACGGGUGAGUAACACGUGGGUGAUCUGCCCUGCACUUCGGGAUAAGCCUGGGAAACUGGGUCUAAUACCGGAUAGGACCACUGCCUGCAUGGGUGGUGGUGGAAAGCUUUUGCGGUGUGGGAUGGGCCCGCGGCCUAUCAGCUUGUUGGUGGGGUGAUGGCCUACCAAGGCGACGACGGGUAGCCGGCAUGAGAGGGUGACCGGCCACACUGGGACUGAGAUACGGCCCAGACUCAUACGGGAGGCAGCAGUGGGGAAUAUUGCACAAUGGGCGAAAGCCUGAUGCAGCGACGCCGCGUGAGGGAUGACGGCCUUCGGGUUGUAAACCUCUUUCAGCACCGACGAAGCGCAAGUGACGGUAGGUGCAGAAGAAGGACCGGCCAACUACGUGCCAGCCGCCGCCGUAA
Molecule: ribosomal RNA, 478 nt
Filed under: uncultured bacterium
Lineage: Bacteria
Description: partial 16S ribosomal RNA
Rfam family: Bacterial small subunit ribosomal RNA
Source: RNAcentral